AGAUAAGACCACAGGGGCUUUGGCCUCUGGGGUAAAAGGUGGCCUCUGCUUGCAAGCUACCACUCGAAGAUGGGCCUGCGCGCCAUUAGCUUGUUGGUGAGGUAACGGCUCACCAAGGCAAAGAUGGCUAGCUGGUCUGAGAGGAUGGCCAGCCACACUGGGACUGAGACACGGCCCAGACUCCUACGGGAGGCAGCAGUGGGGAAUAUUGCGCAAUGGGCGAAAGCCUGACGCAGCGACGCCGCGUGGGUGAUGAAGGCCUUCGGGUCGUAAAGCCCUGUCGGGAGGGACGAAACCUCGGCGACCUAAUACGUCGUCGACCUGACGGUACCUCCAAAGGAAGCACCGGCUAACUCCGUGCCAGCAGCCGCGGUAAUACGGAGGGUGCAAGCGUUGUUCGGAAUCACUGGGCGUAAAGCGCGUGUAGGCG
This 430-nucleotide ribosomal RNA is filed under the name uncultured bacterium. RNAcentral's name for it is "bacterial SSU rRNA". It matches the Rfam family "Bacterial small subunit ribosomal RNA", at positions 171 to 577 of the family's 1533-position model. The record is from RNAcentral.